RNAcentral lists this ribosomal RNA (1082 nucleotides) under Candidatus Gottesmanbacteria bacterium. RNAcentral's name for it is "partial 23S ribosomal RNA". The stretch from base 831 to 1080 matches the Rfam family "Bacterial large subunit ribosomal RNA", at positions 2652 to 2912 of the family's 2925-position model. Lineage: Bacteria; Candidatus Gottesmaniibacteriota. The record is from RNAcentral.
GGUCCGGCUGUUCGCCGGUUAAAAGGGUACGCGAGCUGGGUUCAGAACGUCGUGAGACAGUAGACCUUGAUGGAUUUUCGACGCCAUCAUAAAGAGCUGUCUAUAAAUCUGGUUAAUUGCUGGAACAUCCGAGAAUCGUAUGAUACUAUGGUUUAUAGAGAUCAGAUAAUCUCUAUGAAUACAGGUGACAAUUCACUACGUGCGGACAAUCAGCAGGUAAGCAAGAAGAAUGUUCAUGAUGAUUAUUUUUCAGGUUUUGUUGAUGGGGAAGGGUGUUUUUAUAUUGGAUUUAGUAAGCGAAAAGAUUUGCCGAUGAAGUGGCAAAUACUUACUGAAUUUCAUGUCAGUCAAAAUCCAGGAAGUAAAAAAGUUCUUGAGGCUUUGCAGAAACGAUUGGGAUGUGGAUAUCUCAAGCCGAAUCAUGAAAAAAGUACCUCAGAUAAAACAUGGAUUUUAAUUGUUAAAGAUAGAAAGGAUCUUAUUGCAAAAGUAAUUCCUUUCUUUGAUAUGCAUCCUCUUCAAACAACAAAGCGCAAUGACUACGAAAUAUUUAAAUAUGUAGUUGAAAUGAUUAUUGAAAAACGUCAUCUGACAAAAGAAGGUUUUCGAAAAAUCGUUCGACUUGUCUUUUCGAACAAACGACAGACAAGGAAAUGGUAUUCGAAAGAUAUGCUUCUUUCUUCUUGAAACUUCAGAGACUAUAUGCCAGGUCCCGAUUAAAUCGGGAAAGAUAUAGUCCGAACUGCAUAGCGAUAUGCAGAGCCUAGCAGAAAUGCCUAGACUCCCGAAUAGCGGGAUAACAAAAAUUGUCGGUCUCUAUCCUGUGCAAGCGAUCGAUUCUUGAGGGAAGCUCUCUCUAGUACGAGAGGACCGAGAGGGACAGAUCCCUGGUGUGCCUAUUGUCGGAAAACCGGCAUCGUAGGGUAGCUAGAUCUGGUCGGGAUAAGUGCUGAAAGCAUCUCAAGCACCAAGCCCAUCCCAAGAUGAGGAAUCGUUAUAGAUCCGUUGUAGAUGACAACGUUAAUAGGCGAGGAGUGUACGCACCGCAAGGUGUUUAGCUUACUCGUACUAAUCGAUCAAAG